RNAcentral lists this ribosomal RNA (460 nucleotides) under Klebsiella sp. HMSC22F09. RNAcentral's name for it is "bacterial SSU rRNA". It matches the Rfam family "Bacterial small subunit ribosomal RNA", at positions 1 to 455 of the family's 1533-position model. The record is from RNAcentral. Lineage: Bacteria; Pseudomonadati; Pseudomonadota; Gammaproteobacteria; Enterobacterales; Enterobacteriaceae.
ACUUAAAUUGAAGAGUUUGAUCAUGGCUCAGAUUGAACGCUGGCGGCAGGCCUAACACAUGCAAGUCGAGCGGUAGCACAGAGAGCUUGCUCUCGGGUGACGAGCGGCGGACGGGUGAGUAAUGUCUGGGAAACUGCCUGAUGGAGGGGGAUAACUACUGGAAACGGUAGCUAAUACCGCAUAACGUCGCAAGACCAAAGUGGGGGACCUUCGGGCCUCAUGCCAUCAGAUGUGCCCAGAUGGGAUUAGCUAGUAGGUGGGGUAACGGCUCACCUAGGCGACGAUCCCUAGCUGGUCUGAGAGGAUGACCAGCCACACUGGAACUGAGACACGGUCCAGACUCCUACGGGAGGCAGCAGUGGGGAAUAUUGCACAAUGGGCGCAAGCCUGAUGCAGCCAUGCCGCGUGUGUGAAGAAGGCCUUCGGGUUGUAAAGCACUUUCAGCGGGGAGGAAGGCGGU